UGAAAACAUUUUGGUUGGUAAGAAUCUUGGUUAAAACUUUUUGUUAGAAUUAAUUAUAGUUAUUUAAUCAUAACUAUAUAUGAUGUGCGAAAAAUAUGAUUAUACAGAUGUCGUAGGUCAAGUUGUCAAUGUCGGCGAACUUAAGAUUCAUCAAGUCGAAAACAAGGACAAGAAGAAAGUUGAGUUUGAGCUGAGAGACAUACGGUAUUAUCGUGAUCAAUAAGUUCAGUUAUUCUAAUAAUUAUUUACUAAAUUAUCUUUAUUCAUCAACCAUAUAGUGAUGACCGACUAUCAUGUACAUUGUGGGGUGGUUUUGCUGAGAGAAUCCUAGCUGCUUGUGAAAACAAUAGACAACAGGUGGUGAUUUGUCUGUUGCGCUUUGCUAAGAUCAAUUCUUUCAAAGGUCAAUGAUCAGUGUCAAAUGCUUAUGACAUUUCGUUAAUGGAGAUUGAUCCAAACUAUCCAGAAAUUGUGGAGUUUCGUGAAAUGCUGAUGGUCUUGCCUUGACAAUCAAACAAGGUGUACCUAAGGAGUUAGCAGUUAAUAAGAAAGCUCAAGCCUAUAAACACUGCGAAAAGAAAUCGAUUGAAGAAAUCAGGGCAUAUAAUGAGGUACAUAUAACGAAUAUAUAGAACAGAGCACAAAUGAGAUCUAAUAAGAUAUACUUCAUACUUUGCCACAAAGACCACAAACUGAGCUUAGCCCAAAAAAACCUUUUCCAGUAAAAACAUGACAAAGAUUGGAAAGCCAAAGAAUGUUACAGAUCCAGUACUUAAGGCUUGGUUCGACCUAAACCGUAAUUCUAAAGUUGCAAGACAACUGACUUUUGAGGAGAUUCCUGAGUUUUUUACUUGGAUCUCUAAAGGAAAAUGCUUCGAACGAAGAAAGAGAUCAUUGAACACUCGAAGAACUACUUCUAUUUCAAGUAAGUUUACUGGUAAUUUAUCCCUAAAACUUCUCUUCCGUU
Non-coding RNA from Camelina sativa (false flax), 967 nucleotides. NCBI's taxonomy places the organism in Eukaryota, Viridiplantae, Streptophyta, Magnoliopsida, Brassicales, Brassicaceae. The record is from RefSeq and is a predicted model, not a curated record.